CAGCUGGGAAAUGCAGAGCUCAAGUGAUCCCCCACCCUCCUGUCAAACAAAUAAACAGGUGAAACAAACUGCAGCUGGGGGAAUUUCAUGGUGGCUUUUCUCCUGCAGCUAGCACAGGAGCAAGGCUGGAAGGGAUGAAUGUGACGUGCCAAAUUGCUGCAUACUUACUAAGCUGUGGUCAAGAGAAAUUUGGUAAGGAGUGGUAGUGCCUGCCCUGGAGCAGCUGAUACAGCUGGAGCUGUCAGGUGUUUGCUCAGACACACAACCCAUUCUGGGCUGAAGAUUUAGCUGCAAAGUCCAGUACAGGAACAAUGUGAGAAUAAAGGUUCAUUUAAGUUUGACAAGCCAAAAAUGUUUUCAUUUGGAUGAAAACCUGAAAAACAUCAUGAGCUGGAGCACAACUACUUGGCUCUCCAAAAUGGGAACCACUUUGUCCAUCGAUUUCCCUCCCAAUAAUUGCUGGGUGAGUCAGAGUGAGGUCCACCUCAGACAGAUGACAACUAGGACAAGAGAAGAAUUGAUCAAGUAAAAAGGACUUAGCCAUGUUCUCAAAUAUUGUAGAGCUGGUUGGAGCUUGGAAAUACUUUCCUGGGCUUUCAACUUGUUCUUGCCUGCUUCAUUAUGUCAAAUUAUCCAGAAAAGCUACAAAUGACUGAGAUGCAAGGAAUGGUCUUGGUACCAGUAAAGACUGAGCAGAUGCUGGUCUCCUUCCUGUUGCUGCUCAUACAUGAGAGGUUCUCCUGGCUAAAGAAUUGUCUCAAAAUACUGCAAUGAGCACCUGCCUCUCACAACCACUGUGAAGAUUGCCUAAAGUUAGAGCAAUGCCUUGAAGACAAAUCUGAUUGCUGCAACAUCCCUCUCCUGGAAAGCACGGAAAUGUCCUUACUGAGCCAGAGCAAAGGUCCAGCACACCCAGCCAUGGCUGCAGCAGAAAAGCCUCCUCCACUGGAGCAGCUAGUCCCAUUUGAAGCCUUUCAUCUUGGGUAAUCAAUGACUAUUUCCUUAUGAAAUAUCUGAAGUGGAGCACAGAGAUGCCACUAACAACUUGCUGAGUUAAAUCAAAGUGACAGCAGACAGCUAAGAUGUGAGUGCAGGUCCCUCUUUUCUGUAAGAAAAGUUUGUAUGUGAAGUUUGGAAGGCUUCCAUCCAUGAUUCACGUUGGCCUUCCAAUGCUCUAAUGCUCCUAAUACUUGCCCGUGAGUGUACCUACUUGUAAAUAAAUUAGGCUGAAAUAUUAGACUGCACCUGAGCCAAGUAAUUUCUUUCCCGGCAGUGAGAUCCUCCAGUUCUGCAGCCCAGCAUUUCCCGGCCAGUGCAAUAAUCACCAUAUUUUACAGGCUCAGCUGAGGUGGCUUACUGGGACUGUUUGGUAUCCACUCUUGUUUUCAUUCACUUCAGUUCAGUGUCCCCCAAUUUAUGUCAGAAAUGGGAGCCCAAAACUUCAGCAAUUCCUGCUCUGAGUUCUAAUUUACAGCUAUUCAUGCAAGAGGGAACUCAGAUUUCUUAUUUCUGUAAAUAAUUUAUUAUUAUUUUUUUUUUUACAUUUUUUAUUUUUAUCUCCAUAUAUUGUUUGCAAACCAAAAUAUUGUGACAAGUUGGGAGCUCCUUGUUUUAUGAUCAGCAUUAAGGAAAACAACUCGCAAAAACCUUGUAAAACCAGAAAAGGGUAGACUUCUAUUUCAUCCAUUCCUAACAGAUCUGUGCAAUGUAAGUUGGUUUUUAUAUAAUAUAAUUUUUAACGUAAUUUUCAUUUUAAAA
Anas platyrhynchos (mallard) is the source of this 1758-nucleotide long non-coding RNA. RefSeq lists it as uncharacterized. NCBI's taxonomy places the organism in Eukaryota, Metazoa, Chordata, Aves, Anseriformes, Anatidae. The record is from RefSeq and is a predicted model, not a curated record.